RNAcentral lists this ribosomal RNA (253 nucleotides) under uncultured bacterium. RNAcentral's name for it is "partial 16S ribosomal RNA". It matches the Rfam family "Bacterial small subunit ribosomal RNA", at positions 524 to 776 of the family's 1533-position model. The record is from RNAcentral.
GACAGAGGUGGCAAGCGUUGUUCGGAAUUACUGGGCGUAAAGAGUCUGUAGGUGGUUUGUCAAGUCUUUGGUGAAAGGCCGUGGCUUAACCAUGGGAAUGCCAAAGAGACUGGCAGACUAGAGGCUGGGAGAGGGAAGCGGAAUUUCUGGUGUAGCGGUGAAAUGCGUAGAUAUCAGAAGGAAGGCCGGUGGCGAAGGCGGCUUCCUGGAACAGACCUGACACUGAGAGACGAAAGCGUGGGGAGCAAACAGG